ACUGCACAGAGAUGGAACCUGAUGAAACGGCCCCAUUUGAGUGCCUGCUGUAUCGUGUUGGCUCUGCUUCCUGCAGCUGUGCUCCGAGAUGAGCCUUUCAGUCAUCGCUCCCUAAUAGCCCCAUCUCCCCGAAUUUGGGAGGACGCACAUUCCUCUCCUUGCUCACAUGCCCCACUUCAAGCCAUCUGCACACUCUACAGGGAACUUGCCUCCUGACGUCCUGAUGUGCAACGCCAUCCAAAUCCUCUGCUGGAAUCUCACUAUUCACACCACUGAUGCCCCUGGAGCAUGAAACAGAAAGAAUGACAUCCUGUGCUCAGCAGGUCUCUUCCCCCUCAUUCCAGACAUCAGGGUAGGAGUAUUACGGAGGUCCCACAGAAGAACUUGGCGACUGUCACCUGCCUUGCAAAUCGAACAUAUGUUAGAAAGAUGCACGCUCACAAGACCCACAGCCGGCUUGGUCAGCCACAUCUGUCAUUCCUCCCACCAGGAAAGCCGAAUUCCUCCCAGAGCUGUAAACCUCACAUCUCACUGAAUCUCUGGACACCAUCACCCAGGGGCUGCGAUCAGGAGGGCCCGCUGGUAACGACUUAACCAGCUGAGGUUCCAGUGCACUUCAGGGGUUUACAGGACUGUGCCUUGAAGGAAGUGUUCCCUGCUGCUUUGGGAAAACGGGCAAUUGUAAAUCAGGUAACAAUGAGGCCCUGACUUAUUUAUCCUUCUACAGGUUUUACAUACUAGGGCCAGCAAGGGACACAUUUGCCCAGCUCAUGGCUGAUUUGCAGAGUCAGCACUUUAGGUAAGACCAGCCCGCCUUGCUCAGCGGGACGGCAUGUGCUGGGGGCUUCGAGGAACCAACGCACCCUGUGGUGCUGAGGCCUUAUCUUGUCUCUUGGUCUGGACCAAAUGCCAUCUUUCAGAGACAUGAGAUACAGAAUGGGAAGUCACCAAACAGUGGGAAAUUCUUCCUCUGGUGCUAAAAGUGCUUUUUCCCCUCUCUCCCUGGCCUCCUCCACGUUCCUCCUCCUUUAGAGGGAACAUUUGCCUGGAGAACAGCUGCACCCUUGUGAUCCCAGAAAUGAUAGGGAACCAUUAAAACAGGAACAGCGGCGAUAAAUGAAGCUUUCAGGCCUUUGGCUUGUACUAAUUAGCAAUCAAGGCCAAAGCUGAACCCAAUGUCCCAUAAUAAAUUAUGACACAUCCUUACAAGAGAAUAUUAGGCAGCUAUUAAAAAUAAUGUUUUCAAAGAAUUUUUAUGGCACUGAAAACUGCUUAUGAUAUGAAGUGAAAUGAAGGAAAGAUGUAAAGCCCACAUAUAGAACACGGAAUACCAAUGACCUGAAAGACUACCUGAAAAUACUGUAAAACGGGAACUGCGAUUAUCUCUGCAGGAAAAAUUAUGUGUGCAUUUUAUGUUUCUCUCUUAUUAUAUUUUAAACAUUUCCUAUAUUAGGCAUUCGUGGCUUUUGUUUAUUAAAAAUAAAAUAAAAUAAAUAAA
Molecule: long non-coding RNA, 1498 nt
Filed under: Macaca mulatta (Rhesus monkey)
Lineage: Eukaryota; Metazoa; Chordata; Mammalia; Primates; Cercopithecidae
Description: lncRNA (ENSMMUG00000060995.1)
Source: RNAcentral